GUAGGAGGCGAGCGUUAUCCGGAUUUACUGGGCGUAAAGAGCCCGUAGGCGGCUCUUCAAGUCGGAUGUAAAAUCUCCCGGCUCAACUGGGAGGGAUCAUUCGAUACUGUUGGGCUAGAGUGCAGCAGAGGAAAGUGGAAUUCCCGGUGUAGUGGUGAAAUGCGUAGAUAUCGGGAGGAACACCAGUGGCGAAGGCGGCUUUCUGGGCUGUAACUGACGCUGAGGUGCGAAGGCGUGGGUAGCAAACAGGAUUAGAUACCCUGGUAGUCCACGCAGUAAACGAUGGACACUAGGUAUAGGGAGUAUCGACCCUCUCUGUGCCGAACUAACGCUUUAAGUGUCCCGCC
Molecule: ribosomal RNA, 347 nt
Filed under: uncultured bacterium
Lineage: Bacteria
Description: bacterial SSU rRNA
Rfam family: Bacterial small subunit ribosomal RNA
Source: RNAcentral